Long non-coding RNA from Tympanuchus pallidicinctus (lesser prairie-chicken), 246 nucleotides. RefSeq lists it as uncharacterized. NCBI's taxonomy places the organism in Eukaryota, Metazoa, Chordata, Aves, Galliformes, Phasianidae. The record is from RefSeq and is a predicted model, not a curated record. The transcript has 3 exons.
AGGUCUGCGAAGGCGAGGGACUGCUGAAACCAGACUUCUCUGACUUCUUUAAUGCAGUUGGCGAUGGCAUUCCUGGCAAGAAUGAUUGAUAACCAUAUGUUACAACGCUGGUCAUUCUAUCGAAGCUCCUUUCAGGAGCUGGGAGCAAAAGCGAGCAAACUCGGGUUUAAUCACCCAGAAAAAUUUAAAUCUGAUUCUCCAGCUCUCGCUCUUAGAGGGAGCCAGACCAAAGACCCUGAUGGUGCU